UACGGAAGGCAGCAGUGGAGAAUAUUGCACAAUGGGCGCAAGCCUGAUGCAGCCAUGCCGCGUGUAUGAAGAAGGCCUUCGGGUUGUAAAGUACUUUCAGUCGUGAGGAAGGUGUUAAGGUUAAUAACCUUAGCAAUUGACGUUAGCGACAGAAGAAGCACCGGCUAACUCCGUGCCAGCAGCCGCGGUAAUACGGAGGGUGCGAGCGUUAAUCGGAAUUACUGGGCGUAAAGGGCACGCAGGCGGUUAAUUAAGUUGGAUGUGAAAUCCCCGGGCUUAACCUGGGAAUGGCAUUCAAGACUGGUUAGCUAGAGUCUUGUAGAGGGGGUAGAAUUCCAUGUGUAGCGGUGAAAUGCGUAGAGAUGUGGAGGAAUACCGGGUGGCGAAGGCGGCCCCUGGGACAAAGGACUGACGCUCAUGUGCGAAAGCGUGGGGAGCGAAACAGGGAUUAGAU
This 454-nucleotide ribosomal RNA is filed under the name uncultured bacterium. Its description in RNAcentral is "bacterial SSU rRNA". It matches the Rfam family "Bacterial small subunit ribosomal RNA", at positions 340 to 783 of the family's 1533-position model. The record is from RNAcentral.